CCAGACUCCUACGGGAGGCAGCAGUGAGGAAUAUUGGUCGAUGGCCGAGAGGCUGAACCAGCCAAGUCGCGUGAGGGAUGACGGCCCUACGGGUUGUAAACCUCUUUUGCCGGGGAGCAAAGAGCGGGACGCGUCCCGCCUCGAGAGUACCCGGAGAAAAAGCAUCGGCUAACUCCGUGCCAGCAGCCGCGGUAAUACGGAGGAUGCGAGCGUUAUCCGGAUUUAUUGGGUUUAAAGGGUGCGCAGGCGGAAUGUCAAGUCAGCGGUAAAAUUUCGGGGCUCAACCCCGUCGUGCCGUUGAAACUGGGUGCCUUGAGUGGGCGAGAAGUAUGCGGAAUGCGUGGUGUAGCGGUGAAAUGCAUAGAUAUCACGCAGAACUCCGAUUGCGAAGGCAGCAUACCGGCGCCCAACUGACGCUCAGGCACGAAAGCGUGGGUAUCGAACAGGAUUAGAUACCCGAGUAC
This 464-nucleotide ribosomal RNA is filed under the name uncultured bacterium. RNAcentral describes it as "bacterial SSU rRNA". It matches the Rfam family "Bacterial small subunit ribosomal RNA", at positions 331 to 793 of the family's 1533-position model. The record is from RNAcentral.